ACCUGGGUGGCUUAGUCGGUUAAGCAUCUGCCUUCAACUCAGGUUAUGAUCUCAUGAGGGAUCAAGCCCCUCAUCAGGCU
Molecule: transfer RNA, 80 nt
Filed under: Canis lupus familiaris (dog)
Lineage: Eukaryota; Metazoa; Chordata; Mammalia; Carnivora; Canidae
Also listed under: 1 other name
Rfam family: tRNA
About the family: Transfer RNA (tRNA) molecules are approximately 80 nucleotides in length. Their secondary structure includes four short double-helical elements and three loops (D, anti-codon, and T loops).
Source: Rfam by way of RNAcentral